UCGGGGAUAUUGCACAAUGGAGGAAACUCUGAUGCAGCAACGCCGCGUGAGGGAAGAAGGUUUUCGGAUUGUAAACCUCUGUCCUCGGUGAAGAUAAUGACGGUAGCCGAGGAGGAAGCCACGGCUAACUACGUGCCAGCAGCCGCGGUAAUACGUAGGUGGCAAGCGUUGUCCGGAAUGACUGGGUGUAAAGGGUGCGUAGGCGGCUAUGCAAGUCAGGCGUGAAAUAUAUGGGCUUAACCCGUAGACUGCGUUUGCAACUGUGUAGCUUGAGUGAGGUAGAGGCAGGCGGAAUUCCCGGUGUAGCGGUGAAAUGCGUAGAGAUCGGGAGGAACACCAGUGGCGAAGGCGGCCUGCUGGGCCUUAACUGACGCUGAAGCACGAAAGCAUGGGUAGCAAACAGG
This 404-nucleotide ribosomal RNA is filed under the name uncultured prokaryote. RNAcentral describes it as "bacterial SSU rRNA". It matches the Rfam family "Bacterial small subunit ribosomal RNA", at positions 355 to 776 of the family's 1533-position model. The record is from RNAcentral. RNAcentral also lists the same sequence under 1 other name.